ACGAGCUCGCAAAGAGCACGCACAUUUUUUGCCGUCUGGGGAUCUGGGCGGUGCGGAGCUGUAGGAGAAACACAAGUUAAUUGGGAGACGCAGACUGAUGCAACAAAAACCAGAAAGUAGGGUGUACAGCGUACACUGUAGUCUAUAGCAAACAAAUGAGCGUGCUGUGUGUGUAACAGCGCGAUAAACAUUACCUGUCCUUUAAGUAACUGCACAAGUAGUGCUGGUCAUAGCUGCUAGCUAACUGGGUAAGGGUGUCAUGGGUCUGUAGCGCUGUCCACCGUUUUAGGGAAGAUAUUUGGUUUUAAAAUUCACAGCACGUGGAGAGUGAUAGCUGAGAUGAGGAGAUGGAGGAAGAGAGGCAAAGAGUGAUUCACAGACAGAGCCUCGUUUAUUUCUCACCGUUUUGUUGCCUUAUGGUUCCAAGCGCUGUCACAAAUUUUUGCAUUUUAUUAUUAUCUCAUAACACUUGUUUAAUCAGCUACCAUCUCUCCUAUGGAUUUUUUACAGUCUACAGUCUCAAAUCAACACAGCCCUGCCCUCCAGCACUAUCAGCAGCAGGAGCAGCAGCAACACCUCAGCAGCAACAUUGUACCCCAUCAGGUAAAACAUAGGCUACGUUUGCUUUGCAUUGUCCCCUUGAAACUUCUCUGCAUGGCCCUGAGUAUAUCUGUGUGAGUUCUUAUGUCCUGCACAGGUUUAUCAAAUACCUGUCACACAUGGUGGACUACAGUCACUUUACGAGAUUACUUAAGUUUCAGUGGUUAUGCUCCUACUUCGUCACCUCCACCCUGAACUGCUCUUUCACUCUGUCCUCUGCAACAGGAUGUAAGGAUUUCUUAAUGCUGCUUUACUUCAAAAGAAACAAAAUGCUUUGCAGCGAAGUUUCAGUUCGAAUUUUGAGUUGAUGUUUCAUAUUAACGAUUUCGCUUCCACACUGCCACAGUUCUGCUUGGCAAUCAUAGAAAAUGUAGUGUAAUACAUAAGAAAUAAAGAUUUAGUAUUCAGAUCCAAGCUAGAGACAGGAAUUUUCACUUACAGGUCAGUUAAUGUCCAUCACAGCAGCAGGCGCCCUGCAUCAGGAAAAACCCUGUGAGGCUCCUGCACAGGUGUUUUAGGUAAUCGUAGCUUUAACUGAGAAUAAGAUGGUCUACACUGACGUUUCAACACUCAGAAGAACUUCCGAAAAUGCGGACAUUUCGAAACACAGCUCAGAAGUGUGGUUCAAAAACGGAGGUCAUGUGACCGUGUGCCGAUGGACGGCUCGCCUGCUGCUUCUGCACAGAGGACAGAGUGAGAGAGAGAGAGAGUCCACUGCUAAUCCUGACAUUUUGAAAACAGAAAGUCCGUGGUUUCAAACAUAAAAAACAUGCAGAAAGUUUGAGUUGUAACUCUCAUCAUCCAUUUUUUUUCUGCUGUAUGGGCAGAAACUGAAGGAUUAUUCCUGCUACGCACAGAAAGCAAAAUAAACACAUCCUCAUAUACAUGAGAUUUAUUUCUAACUGUUCUCAGUUUUACUCUCUCUGACACCUCAGCAUAAGCACACCCUCAAACUGUGGCAGUAAUAAAUUAAUAUUAUUAUUUUUAUUAUAAAGAGUAAAGCUAAAAAAGUUUCAUCCUCUGCUGAGGAAUGUGUUUACUCAGGUUAAUUAGUUAUCUGUCAGUAUGAAAUGAGCUGAUGUGAUUGGUCAGAGUUAACCCAGAUGGGGGGCAUUAGAACGAAAACACAUCGAGUCUUUUAUUGAAAUCUUUAUUGUUGAGUUAAUUGAAAUAAAACCAAAUGGCAGCUUUUUUGUUUAACAGCGUGUAAAACAAAUGUGAUGACCGUGAACUCACAGAAAGUCCGUGAGACAUCAGGGAUUUGAGUUUGUUUGUUCAACGCUUCAAAAACCUGAAAAGCUGUGAGGUCAUCACCACAAACACAGCAGCUUUUUUCUCACAUUUUAUUUCAUGUAUAAAUAAAAUGUGUUACUAAACAGCUGAAAACCUCAUUCAUGUUAUUUUUGCUGAGGUUCACUGCUCACAGUUUGUUGUCUUUAAUAAUCUCAUAUAAUAAAUACUCCUGUUUAGAAUUGUGCAGGGUUUAUUUUUUGAAAUCAUUGUUUCAAAGAAUCACAUUUCCGUGACGUGACAACAGCAAAGGCUGUCCAAAAUUUGAAGGCUGCUCCAAAUGCGGCCCACAAAUGCGUCCUCCUUCUCUCCAGAUUUGAAGGAGGGGUCAGGUGUAUCCUUUGUGGCCCACCCUAUCCCAUGAUUCAUUGUGAAUCGAAGGCUGAAGAAUUUUGGGGGGAAAAAUGGCAGACAGUCUAAGCGGUCCAAAAAUACUUUUAAAAGUAAGUACUGGGUUUUUAUGUCACUAAAAAUAUCCAGUGGAACUAAUGUUGGCAUAAUGAAGAAUCUUCGGGUAGGCAAGUUCCUUCAAAGGAUGCAGCCCCUGAACUUGGACACAGCCUCAGUUUCACACAUCACGUGACUGACGAAAAUGCAUUUUAAAUCUCUGAAAGCAGAAAUUCAGCCAGUGUGAAGAUGAUCAGAAACUUUUUUUUAUGUCAUUAUUUGAAGGCUUUUGAUUGGCCAGCAUUUCUUCGUGGUUAGGGUUAUAUAGCUAGCUUCUUUUGGCCUGCUCUUCACAGCACUUCAAAUCAUUUCAUGUGCACAGGGACUAGUAACCCUGUUUUAAAAAACAGCUAUGUUUAUAUGGACGUAGUCUACACUGAAGUCUUCUCUUUGCAGGUGAACAUGUGGACAGUCUGACUGAUCCACUCUGUUUAAUCUCAACAACUCCAGCAGCUCAGGGCGAAGCACCAAACUGUGAUCCCGACACAGAGCCCACAGACUGUGCAGGCUAAUGCUCAGCUCCCUGUUUUCAGUCUUUACAUCUUUGCAUGAUUGCAGAUUCAAGAUAUUCCCUCUUUUCAUUUACCCUGUCUCUAAAACCAGCGUUUUAGCUCCUCCUCCUUUAACCCUUGUGUUAAUGAGUAGUUCAACAGUCAGAGCUGGUUAUUUAAAAUGACCAUAUAAGGAUUUCCGAGGUUUUAUUCAGACUCAAACUGGCUGUUUUCAUUGUAUUCAUUUCUUAUUUUAUUAUUUUUAUCAUCAACAAUUAAUGAAAUGAGUCAGUGAAAAUUAUGUUUAAUAUCAGAAAAUAUUUGUAAUCUAAUGUCCAUCACUGAAGCUCAGACAAAUACAGUGUGAGGUCAAAUUCUGUCUGACUACAUGUCAAAACAGCCAAAUAUGACUCCACAUUCAUGAAUAAAGUCAUUUUAGGCUAAACGACACACACGCAACGUGUAAACUAAAAGAAGAAGAUGAUAAUGAAACAAACAGUGGAAACAUGACCCUGUCACAGCUUUACACACAUGCUUUCUGUAUUGUUUCUGAGUUCAUUGUUCUUUCAUACACAAAUAUAUUCUUAUUUAUGUAUGUAACGUAUAUUCAAGAACAAUGUAAACCGAUGUGAAGUCUAUGUAUCACUGAACCAGACUUUUGCUCCACUCAUACGUAUCAGCACCAUGAGUGUGUUGUUUGAUCUCCAUACGCAGCAGAUCUGUGUGUGUUGUUCUUGUUGCCUGGCUGUGAGCUCAGAGCUCAGACGGCUCUCGUUGCCUCUGCUGGUCUUUCUCAGAGCAGCUUCUUAAAGUUCUCCAGCUGUUCUCCUGCAUUUCUGUGUCUGAGCUUCCUCUGAAGUCUCUGAGUCUUCUCUUCAUCUGCUCAAA
Molecule: long non-coding RNA, 3716 nt
Organism: Oreochromis niloticus (Nile tilapia)
Lineage: Eukaryota; Metazoa; Chordata; Actinopteri; Cichliformes; Cichlidae
Exons: 2
Source: RefSeq, a predicted model, not a curated record